AAGUCGUAACAAGGUAUUUGGGUUAGGGUCCCUCCGCUCCGAGUGGUCAAACGCUCGGCGGUUCCCCCCCUGGAAGCCUUAGUGUGCUCCCUCAUUCUGUUGGAACGUGGCAAUCCCUGGUAAAUCAUCGCCGAACAGUUUUGAUUCAGGGACUUCUGCAAAGAGUGCUGGUUGUAGCGCGAGGCAAGUGGCCUGGCAUUCCUCUGCUUGUUAGUGUCUGAAAGUGUCACUGGCUCUGUAAGAAUGGCGCAGUCACGAUCGCUAGAGGCCGACACGGCCGGCGACCGGGUCACCGGGCUCACGCCCCCCUAUCACCCCUUUGCAUGAAAACGGGCCUGCGCUUAAUUGUGCGGCCAUAAACCGAACAACUGUUAACAAUGGAUAUCUUGGUUCUC
This 395-nucleotide unclassified non-coding RNA is filed under the name fungal sp. Its description in RNAcentral is "partial internal transcribed spacer region". Lineage: Eukaryota; Fungi. The record is from RNAcentral.